Long non-coding RNA from Zea mays, 646 nucleotides. RefSeq lists it as uncharacterized. The record is from RefSeq and is marked validated. The transcript has 2 exons. Lineage: Eukaryota; Viridiplantae; Streptophyta; Magnoliopsida; Poales; Poaceae.
ACGGUAGAAUGGGAAAAGCACGCGGCGCGGCGGCGUAGCUAUGGAACGGCGGCGGCGUGUCUUCGCUGGUGGGGAGCGGAAAGGAAGCGAGCAGCCAGAUAUGGUGGCCGCGCCAGUGGGCACCGUUACCGUCGUAACGUCAAGUCUAGGCUAGCGUCGGUUGGAUCAUGACGACCAAAGGGGACCUCGGCGCACGAAAGAUAUUUGAGCUCGCAACCGGGAGACUGUUGCAAAGGAUAAAAUGCUUGGAGGUAUGCACGCGAGCAUAACAAGGGCCAGCAUCCAGCCUCUAAUGAAUCCGAUGAUAAAGCCACCGACGAAGGUUGUCAAAAGCUGUAUGUACUUCCCUACCUUAACAUGAGAAGUCAAGUUUUUUAGUGUUGUACAUAAGGCUUUUUUCUUAAGUUGGUUAGGUGGUCGUCUGUCCCACGCUAAAGCACAGGCCUAAGGCCCGGCAUCGGUUGCGGUCGUUCUCACAUGGGCUUCGAUGCCGCUAUGUAUGGGAAGGGUAGAGGUUCGGGGGAGGUGUGAGAAAGUAUUUUUCUUAAUACAAUACUCGAGGGUUGUCUUAUCCCUGCAGGUCGAGUUUUUAUGUUGUAGACAUGAAAGACCCUUUAAUGGAAACUAGGCAUACUUUUGUUUCUUU